This 333-nucleotide unclassified non-coding RNA is filed under the name soil metagenome. Its description in RNAcentral is "partial contains 5.8S ribosomal RNA, internal transcribed spacer 2, and large subunit ribosomal RNA". The stretch from base 1 to 120 matches the Rfam family "5.8S ribosomal RNA", at positions 35 to 154 of the family's 154-position model. The record is from RNAcentral.
GAUGAAGAACGUAGCAAAAUGCGAUAAGUAAUGUGAAUUGCAGAAUUCAGUGAAUCAUCGAAUCUUUGAACGCACAUUGCGCCCGCCAGUAUUCUGGCGGGCAUGCCUGUUCGAGCGUCAUUUCAACCCUCAAGCUCUGCUUGGUGUUGGGACUCGCGGUAACCCGCGUUCCCCAAAUCGAUUGGCGGUCACGUCGAGCUUCCAUAGCGUAGUAAUCAUACACCUCGUUACUGGUAAUCGUCGCGGCCACGCCGUAAAACCCCAACUUCUGAAUGUUGACCUCGGAUCAGGUAGGAAUACCCGCUGAACUUAAGCAUAUCAAUAAGCGGAGGA